This is a long non-coding RNA of Silurus meridionalis, 516 nucleotides long. RefSeq lists it as uncharacterized. The record is from RefSeq and is a predicted model, not a curated record. NCBI's taxonomy places the organism in Eukaryota, Metazoa, Chordata, Actinopteri, Siluriformes, Siluridae. The transcript has 3 exons.
UCGACAUGUGUGUGUUCUUAAAAAGCAAAAACAAACAGACACAGAAAUGAGUAUGUGUCAUGAUGAGGGCCAUUUCUGCUUACGUUUGCCUAUAAGACCCCCAAACCACCAGGGGGAGACAUUGUUUUUUUUAACAGACGUUCAAAUCACUCCAGGGCUGAGAAUCAGCACAAAAGUGGAGGAGAAAUUGACACAGAAGCACUGAUGGUGUUUAUCAGAGGCCCUCCAGGAGAUGGUAAGAAGUUACUCCUGGGCACCAGCACAGGGUCGGCACAGGAAGCAAACCAGCGGUCACACUGCGAGCACAAGGGCCCAAUCAGUGACGGGUACACCGGUGCCAGAGCCUGAAGUCUGGCCAUGAUCUCAGUGACCAGAAGGGGUGAUCUUUGAGGUCGUGUCUGAGACGUGACCAAAGAAGAGGAGGAAAGCGUAUGAGUGUAGGGCUCGGAGGAAGUCUGCUCUGGUAGACCUCAGCCAGGACAUCAUUAUCUACAGACAAGAUAUCACGUACUUCUG